CGGGAAUAUUGCGCAAUGGAGGAAACUCUGACGCAGUGACGCCGCGUAUAGGAAGAAGGUCUUCGGAUUGUAAACUAUUGUCGUUAGGGAAGAAAAAGGACAGUACCUAAGGAGGAAGCUCCGGCUAACUACGUGCCAGCAGCCGCGGUAAUACGUAGGGAGCGAGCGUUGUCCGGAUUUACUGGGUGUAAAGGGUGCGUAGGCGGCUGUGCAGGUCAGUAGUGAAAUCCAUGGGCUUAACCCAUGAACUGCUAUUGAAACUGCACAGCUUGAGUGAAGUAGAGGUAGGCGGAAUUCCCGGUGUAGCGGUGAAAUGCGUAGAGAUCGGGAGGAACACCAGUGGCGAAGGCGGCCUACUGGACUUUAACUGACGCUGAGGCACGAAAGCGUGGGUAGCAAACAGG
RNAcentral lists this ribosomal RNA (404 nucleotides) under uncultured bacterium. Its description in RNAcentral is "bacterial SSU rRNA". It matches the Rfam family "Bacterial small subunit ribosomal RNA", at positions 356 to 776 of the family's 1533-position model. The record is from RNAcentral.